This is an RNA transcript of Lagenorhynchus albirostris (white-beaked dolphin), 1812 nucleotides long. It is a transcript of the gene named proteasomal ATPase associated factor 1, with no coding region annotated. The record is from RefSeq and is a predicted model, not a curated record. The transcript has 15 exons. Lineage: Eukaryota; Metazoa; Chordata; Mammalia; Artiodactyla; Delphinidae.
AGCGCCUAAGCGCGGACCCACUUCCGUGAAAGAGCGGAAGACGCGGGCUGGUGGAGGCGGUUUCAAGAUGGCGGUUCCUUUGAGGAUUCAGAGCGACUGGGCCCAGGCUCUCAGGAAGGAUGAAGGGGAGGCCUGGCUGAGCUGUCACCCCCCAGGGAAACCAACUUUGUAUGGCAGCCUGACUUGUCAAGGAAUUGGCCUUGAUGGCAUCCCAGAGGUUACAGCUUCGGAAGGAUUUAUUGUGAAUGAAAUAAACAAGAAAAGCAUUCAUAUUUCAUGUCCAAAGGAAAAUGCAUCUUCGAAGUUUUUGGCACCAUAUACUACUUUUUCCAGAAUUCAUACAAAGAGUAUAACAUGCCUGGACAUUUCCAGUGGAGGAGGCCUUGGUGUGUCUUCUAGUACCGAUGGGAGCAUGAAGAUCUGGCAGGCUUCCAAUGGAGAGCUCAGAAGAGUAUUGGAAGGACAUGUAUUUGAUGUGAAUUGUUGCAGGUUUUUCCCAUCAGGCCUUGUGGUUCUGAGUGGGGGAAUGGAUGCCCAGCUGAAGAUCUGGUCAGCUGAAGAUGCUAGCUGUGUGGUGACCUUCAAAGGUCACAAAGGAGGUAUCCUGGAUACAGCCAUUGUUGAUCGGGGGAAGAAUGUGGUAUCUGGUUCUCGAGAUGGGACAGCACGACUUUGGGACUGUGGGCGCUCAGCCUGCUUGGGAGUCAUUGCAGACUGUGGGUCUUCCAUCAACGGAGUGGCUGUGGGUACUGCUGACAACUCUAUAAACCUCGGUUCCCCUGAGCAGACGCCCAGCGAACGGGAGGUUGGAACAGAGUCGAAAAUGCUGCUUUUGGCCCGAGAAGAUAAGAAACUUCAGUGCUUGGGACUGCAGAGCAGGCAGCCGGUGUUCCUCUUUAUUGGCUCAGAUGCCUUCAACUGCUGUAGUUUUCUUUCUGGCUUCUUGCUGUUGGCUGGGACACAGGAUGGAAACAUUUAUCAGCUGGAUGUGAGGAGUCCAAGGGCUCCAGUACAAGUCAUCCACAGAUCAGGAGCACCAGUUAUGUCCCUGCUGAGUUUCAGAGACGGAUUCAUUGCUAGUCAAGGUGAUGGAAGCUGUUUCAUUGUCCAGCAAGACUUAGACUAUGUCAUUGAGCUCACUGGGGCAGACUGUGACCCUGUGUACAAGGUAGCCACAUGGGAGAAGCAGAUCUACACGUGUUGUCGAGAUGGUCUUGUGCGACGCUAUCAGCUCUCUGACCUCUGACCCCUUGGGAAGAGGAGUCCCAGUUAAUGAAAAAGAUUGACUCUGACCAGCAGUGAGCAGAAACAUCAUCAAGGACCAUGGAAGGACCAUGGGUGCCCUUUAUUGUAUUGGGUACCCUUUGGAAGAAACAAAAAGUCAGCUGCAUUGGCCCAUGUGGAGCUAUCAUUCCAUGACAGGACCCACUUUGAAGUCUCCAGAGUUGACAACCUGAUUGUGAUAGAUGCAGUAACCCUUGACAGCUGUCCUGAAGUCCAGACCCAAACAGAAGGAGCAAAGGCUAGCUCUCAGGUACCGGAAACUUGCCCUUAAGAACCACCCAUUGAGGUCCAGUGAGCCAUCCGCAGCGGAGGCAUUCAGGCAAAUAGCGGAGGCCUACGAUGUGCUGAGCGACCCCCUCCAGCUCUCUUAGCCCCUAUGCUGGAUCCCUCCUCACCGUGACACAUAUCCACAGCUGUGAAAAGAGGCAUCUAUGACAAGUUCGGAGAGGAAGGCCUGAAGGGCGGAAUUCCUGUGGAGUUUGGAUCGCAGACCCCGUGGACAACUGGUUACGUCUUCCACGGCAACCC